CGGGUGAGUAAUGCGUGACCAACCUACCCCAUGCUCCAGAAUAGCUCUUGGAAACGGGUGGUAAUGCUGGAUGCUCCAACUUGACGCAUGUCUUGUUGGGAAAGUGUUUAGUGGCAUGGGAUGGGGUCGCGUCCUAUCAGCUUGUAGGCGGGGUAAUGGCCCACCUAGGCUUCGACGGGUAGCCGGCCUGAGAGGGCGGACGGCCACAUUGGGACUGAGAUACGGCCCAGACUCCUACGGGAGGCAGCANGGU
This 253-nucleotide ribosomal RNA is filed under the name uncultured Gardnerella sp. RNAcentral's name for it is "partial 16S ribosomal RNA". It matches the Rfam family "Bacterial small subunit ribosomal RNA", at positions 103 to 353 of the family's 1533-position model. The record is from RNAcentral. Lineage: Bacteria; Bacillati; Actinomycetota; Actinomycetes; Bifidobacteriales; Bifidobacteriaceae.